Vulpes vulpes (red fox) is the source of this 1980-nucleotide long non-coding RNA. Lineage: Eukaryota; Metazoa; Chordata; Mammalia; Carnivora; Canidae. The record is from Ensembl.
CCCCGGAGAGGCGGCUCCCGGAGGUGUUCUAGGGACACAUCACAAUGGCUGGGCGCAGCGCUCAGCGGCUCAGGUGUGCUGCACCUGGAGAGGAGCCAGGCGCCCCGGAGACCCUGUCCCAGGUCCUGCGCUCCGACCUCGCGACCCCCGGCGCACAGCUGGCCCCCAUGGGCAGCCUACUGUGCAGGUUUCUUCGCCCUCCCCGCCGCCGGCCCCUGCCCGGCCGCAGUCGCCCGCUGCUCACUCCUGCCUGGGACACCGCCCAUCCUGGCCGCCACCACCCCGCCGUUCCUGCCCCUGCCCCCUGCUCCGGGCGCAGGCCACUCCACCGGGAUCGCAGGCCCCUGCCAGCUCGCUGCCACGUGGAGCCCAGGAGGCGGGACCCGCUCCCUCAGGCCGCGUGCCCCCCUCUGGGCCUCCUCCCCGUGGUCAACUGGAGGAACCCUCCGGGUCAACCUGUGCUGGCUGCGCGCAGCUCCCUGGGCUGCGGGCCCUCGAGGACUGUGAGGAUCCCUGCUCUGGGGCGCAGGUUCAGGCUCCUGCAUUCACUACCUGCACAGGAAGCCAAGGCUGCGGGUCAGAUACCACCAGAGACCCAGGCACCGGGGGCCCACCUGCCCAGCAUGUAAGUGGUGGGAAGGCAGGGAACAACAUCACUCCCAAGACCGGAAGACCUGGAAUUCCUGCUUUGUGUCAGCAUACUGGGGGCCCACCUGAUGCAAACACAGAUGAAAACAUCAUUGUGUCUAUGAUGGCAGCCCUCUGUAUCAGCAACCGCCCUCAGAACCCUGGGGGCCUACCUGUGUCUAAGGCACCUGGUGCUACCGGGAACAGCACCGUACCUACUGCGACUGGCCAUCCUAAUGCUCCCCCAUUGCUACAGAGCACACAGAACCCCCGCAAGCCACAGCACUGAUGGUGCAAUGGCGGAUACCGCCAUGCCUUUUAGAGAGAAAUCUCUACUCUUGGAACAUGUGGACCUGCCCCUAGUCCGGGCAGCCCUCUGACCUUGGUGAGCCAGCACUGUGUGUGCAAGUUCUUGGUCCACUGUUCUGUGCUCUGCGCAUGGCUAGGGUACCUUCAUAGCCUGUCUAGGAGCCGCCACCAACUGGUUCCGUUCUUUUGUCAUGUUUCUCAACCUCUACGGCACAGAUAUUCCCCCACAUAUUCUGUGUCAUAGUAAAUGGAUUUUGCUGUAUCAGAGCCUCAAUGGGCUCUUAUUUCCCAGAUUNCGUAGAUAUACUUCUACAUCUAUAAAACUUUGUUCUUACUAACCUGCCUUUGCUCGUGUGUCUUUUUGUCUCGGCAGUAGAGAAAGAAUUAACCUAUGUGAGUGUGGUGGGUUGAACCAGACUGUGUGCCAAAUUCUCUGGGUCUCAGUGAUUGGAAUGUGGAAGUAGCCACAGGUUCUGGCUGCACGCACAGACCUCUGAAAUCUGCAUUUUGAGUGUAAGGGAUGGGAAUCCAGGAGGAAGGAAGGUCCAAAGGAGGGAGAGAAGAGGUGACUCGUCCUUGCCUCCACCCUUUGUGCUUCGCUCUCCUCUCCCCUGACUCUGACCUCAAUAGAGGUUGAAUAAUCCUUGGUGAGUGAAGGGAAACCACCCUAUGAUUGUAGUUUUUUAAAACUAUUUAAAUGUUUUCUUGGGUGCCUUCUUAGUUUAGACUUAGGCCAAUCUUUCUUACGUGUUCCCACUUCACCCAGAGAAGACAGAUUUGAGCCCGGAGAAACAAAUGGAAAAAGAGCACAUACAUGCCUGCUCUGUCUGUGUGUGUUAGAAAUUUCAGUUGCUUUAGAAUUUAUUGUGCUGCUUAAGUGCUCUAGAACAGGUCCUUUUCAAUAAUCAGCCCAGCUCUGAUCUAAAUCACUAAAAUAUCAAAUCACCUGUGUUACCAUUGUGCCCAGUUCUGGCUGACCCUAAACUUUCCUGGAUCUCCACUAGACUUAAUAAAGGCAAAAUUCCUGACCUUGUGGGUCUUACA